Non-coding RNA from Pelagibacterium sp. SCN 64-44, 59 nucleotides. The record is from Rfam. NCBI's taxonomy places the organism in Bacteria, Pseudomonadati, Pseudomonadota, Alphaproteobacteria, Hyphomicrobiales, Devosiaceae.
CCAGGGUCCGGGCCCCUCUGGCGAGCGCCGCCGGCGCAAUCGCGAUGUCGGACGCUUCA